Molecule: long non-coding RNA, 420 nt
Organism: Gymnodraco acuticeps
Lineage: Eukaryota; Metazoa; Chordata; Actinopteri; Perciformes; Bathydraconidae
Exons: 3
Source: RefSeq, a predicted model, not a curated record
GAGCAUCGGGACGUCAACAAAGAACAGAAGACUUGAGAUCUGAGCACCAGUGGACAGCGAAGACUAUGGAAGAGAAGAUGUGAUGGUUUUGUGUGGAAAGCUGCUAACGCCAGCCUGUGUCCCUCUCAUCAGUCUCUCCAGGCAGCACCCAGCUAUUCUUCCAUCUUGCAGAUGAAAAGACUUUGAUAUCAUCUGGACACAGCAGGAAUCUACGCCAGGAUCCUGUUUGUGGACUUCAGCUCUGCCUUCAACACAACACUCUGGCUGGAGGCUGCGCUCCAUCAGGACCAACACCUCUCUCCCUCAGGACCAGAACCUCUCUCCAUCAGGACCAACACCUCUCUCCAUCAGGACCAACACCUCUCUCCAUCAGGACCAGAACCUCUCUCCAUCAGGACCAGAACCUCUCUCCAUCAGGAC